AUGGAAGAAAAUAGACUGCUAGGUUUCAGAGAACUCUCAGAGAACUCGCAAGUGCGCCAGAACUACCACCAGGACUCGGAGGCUGCCAUCAACCGCCAGAUCAACCUGGAGUUGUAUGCCUCCUACGUCUAUCUGUGUAUGUCUUGUUAUUUUGACUGGGAUGAUGUGGCUCUGAAGAACUUUGCCAAAUACUUUCUCCACCAAUCUCAUGAGGAGAGGGAACAUUCUGAGAAACUGAUGAAGCUGCAGAACGAGCGAGGUGGCCGCAUCUUCCGUCAGGAUACAAAGAAACCAGACCGUGAUGACUGGGAGAGCGGGUUGAAUACAAUGGAGUGUGCACUGGACUUGGAAAAGAGUGUGAAUCAGUCACUACUGGAACUGCACAAACUGGCUACUGACAAGAAUGAUUCCCACAUAUGUGACUUCAUUGAGACGCAUUACCUGAAUGAACAGGUGAAAUCCAUUAAAGAACUGGGUGACCAUGUGACCAACUUACGCAAAAUGGGAGUCCCUGAAUCUGGCAUGGCAGAAUAUCUCUUUGACAAGCACACCUGGGACACAGUGAUGAAAGCUAAGCUGACUUCCCCAAAGCCAUAUGACUUCACUGGUCACUGAGGCAGUGCAUGCAUGUCAGGCUGCCUUUAUCUUUUCUAUAAGUUGCACCAAAACAUCUGCUUAAGUUCUUUUAAUUUGUACCAUUUCUUCAAAUAAAGAAUUUUGGUAC
Grammomys surdaster is the source of this 724-nucleotide RNA transcript. It is a transcript of the gene named ferritin heavy chain pseudogene, with no coding region annotated. The record is from RefSeq and is a predicted model, not a curated record. The transcript is spliced from 2 exons. NCBI's taxonomy places the organism in Eukaryota, Metazoa, Chordata, Mammalia, Rodentia, Muridae.